UCUCCGUUGGUGAACCAGCGGAGGGAUCAUUACAGAGUUUUCACAACUCCCAACCCUUGCGAACCGUACCCAUUCUGUUCUCGUUGCUUCCGGCGGGGGGGACGGGGGGGGCCGAAAUGGGCCCCCCGCCCCGCCCGCCGGGGGCGGCGGGCUCUACGAACCUUGAUAUCUCAAACACCAGCAACCGUUUGACAAAACAAUCAAAAUAAUCAAAACUUUCAACAACUGAUCUAUUUGCUCUAGCAUAGAUGCAGAACGCAUGAGAUCGGAAGAUCACAC
RNAcentral lists this unclassified non-coding RNA (279 nucleotides) under plant metagenome. RNAcentral's name for it is "partial contains small subunit ribosomal RNA, internal transcribed spacer 1, and 5.8S ribosomal RNA". The record is from RNAcentral.